AGAGCGAACGCUGGCGGCAGGCCUAACACAUGCAAGUCGAACGGACUCUUCGGAGUUAGUGGCGGACGGGUGAGUAACACGUGGGAGCGUGCCUUUAGGUUCGGAAUAGCUCCUGGAAACGGGUGGUAGUACCGAAGUGUGCCCUUCGGGGGAAAGAUUUAUCGCCUUUAGAGCGGCCCGCGUCUGAUUAGCUUGUUGGUGAGGUAAUGGCUCACCAAGGCUACGAUCAGUAGCUGGUCUGAGAGGAUGACCAGCCACAUUGGGACUGAGACCACGGACCCCAAACUCCGUACGGGUAGACACGGCGAGGU
RNAcentral lists this ribosomal RNA (311 nucleotides) under uncultured soil bacterium. RNAcentral's name for it is "bacterial SSU rRNA". It matches the Rfam family "Bacterial small subunit ribosomal RNA", at positions 26 to 360 of the family's 1533-position model. The record is from RNAcentral.